This 253-nucleotide ribosomal RNA is filed under the name uncultured bacterium. RNAcentral's name for it is "partial 16S ribosomal RNA". It matches the Rfam family "Bacterial small subunit ribosomal RNA", at positions 524 to 776 of the family's 1533-position model. The record is from RNAcentral.
UACGGAGGGUGCAAACGUUGCUCGGAAUCAUUGGGCGUAAAGCGCACGUAGGCGGUUCGUUAAGUCGGGUGUGAAAGCCCUGGGCUCAACCCGGGAAGUGCAUCCGAAACUGGCGAGCUGGAGUAUGGAAGAGGGUCGCGGAAUUCCCGGUGUAGAGGUGAAAUUCGUAGAUAUCGGGAGGAACACCAGUGGCGAAGGCGGCGACCUGGGCCGGUACUGACGCUGUAGCGCGAAAGCGUGGGGAGCAAACAGG